This 253-nucleotide ribosomal RNA is filed under the name uncultured bacterium. RNAcentral describes it as "partial 16S ribosomal RNA". It matches the Rfam family "Bacterial small subunit ribosomal RNA", at positions 524 to 776 of the family's 1533-position model. The record is from RNAcentral.
UACAGAGGUGGCGAGCGUUAUUCGGAAUUAUUGGGCGUAAAGAGCGUGUAGGCGGUCCGGUAAGUCAGCUGUGAAAGUCAAGGGCUCAACCCUUGAAAGCCGGUUGAUACUGUCGGGCUAGAGUCCGGAAGAGGCGAGUGGAAUUCCCGGUGUAGCGGUGAAAUGCGCAGAUAUCGGGAGGAACACCAAUGGCGAAGGCAGCUCGCUGGGACGGUACUGACGCUGAGACGCGAAAGCGUGGGGAGCAAACAGG